AUUGAACGCUGGCGGCAGGCCUAACACAUGCAAGUCGAACGAGUGGCGGACGGGUGAGUAAUGUCUGGGAAACUGCCCGAUGGAGGGGGAUAACUACUGGAAACGGUAGCUAAUACCGCAUACCAUCGGAUGUGCCAAGAUGGGAUUAGCUUGUAGGUGAGGUAACGGCUCACCUAGGCGACGAUCCCUAGCGGGUCUGAGAGGAUGACCAGCUACACUGGACCUGAGACACGGUCCAGAGUCCUACGGGCGGCAGCAGUGGGGAAUAUGGCACAGUGGGCGCAAGGCUGAUGCAGCCAUGUCGGGUGUAGGAAGAGGGCCGUCGGGUUGUAAAGUACUUUCAGCGGGGAGGCGGUGCCCGCAGAAGAAGCACCGGCUAACUCCGUGACAGCAGCCGCGGUAAUAC
Molecule: ribosomal RNA, 406 nt
Filed under: uncultured bacterium
Lineage: Bacteria
Description: partial 16S ribosomal RNA
Rfam family: Bacterial small subunit ribosomal RNA
Source: RNAcentral